RNAcentral lists this ribosomal RNA (309 nucleotides) under uncultured soil bacterium. RNAcentral describes it as "bacterial SSU rRNA". It matches the Rfam family "Bacterial small subunit ribosomal RNA", at positions 1082 to 1397 of the family's 1533-position model. The record is from RNAcentral.
AAGUCCCGUAACGAGCGCAACCCUUGUCCUUAGUUGCUACGCAAGGGCACUCUAAGGAGACUGCCGGUGACAAACCGGAGGAAGGUGGGGAUGACGUCAAGUCCUCAUGGCCCUUAUGGGUAGGGCUUCACACGUAAUACAAUGGCGCGUACAGAGGGUUGCCAAGCCGCGAGGUGGAGCCAAUCCCACAAAGCGCGUCGUAGUCCGGAUUGGAGUCUGCAACUCGACUCCAUGAAGUCGGAAUCGCUAGUAAUCGCGGAUCAGCAUGUCGCGGUGAAUACGUUCCCGGGUCUUGUACACACCGCCCGU